UGUCCCAGUUCGGACUGGAGUCUGCAACCCGACUCCACGAAGUUGGAUUCGCUAGUAAUCGCGCAUCAGCCAUGGCGCGGUGAAUACGUUCCCGGGCCUUGUACACACCGCCCGUCAAGCCAUGGGAGCCGGGGGCGCCUGAAGUCAGUGACCCAACCGCAAGGAGGGAGCUGCCGAAGGUGGAGCUGGUAACUGGGGUGAAGUCGUAACAAGGUAAC
Molecule: ribosomal RNA, 218 nt
Filed under: uncultured bacterium
Lineage: Bacteria
Description: partial 16S ribosomal RNA
Rfam family: Bacterial small subunit ribosomal RNA
Source: RNAcentral